Molecule: ribosomal RNA, 497 nt
Filed under: uncultured bacterium
Lineage: Bacteria
Description: partial 16S ribosomal RNA
Rfam family: Bacterial small subunit ribosomal RNA
Source: RNAcentral
GAUGAACGCUGGCGGCGUGCCUAAUACAUGCAAGUCGAGCGAACAGAUGAGGAGCUUGCUCCUCUGACGUUAGCGGAGGACGUGUGAGUAACGCGUGGAUAACCUACCUAUAAUACUGGUAUAAUUACGGGAAAGCGGAUCUUAUCCCGGAGAAUAUCUUGAUCCGUAUUGUGCGAUAGUGAAAGACGGUUUUGCUGUAACUUAUCGAUGGAUCCGCGCCGCAUUAGCUAGUUGGUAAGGUAACGGCUUACCAAGGCAACGAUGCGUAGGCGAGGUGAGAGGGUGAUAGGCCACACUAGAGCUGGAACACGGUCCAGACUCCUACGGGAGGCAGCAGUAGGCUAUGUUACGCAGUGGGGGAAAGCAUGGCGGAGUAGGGCGGCGUGAGUUAUGACGGCCUUGGGUGCGUAAUAACGUGUUACUAGGGAAGAACAAAUGUGUAAGGAACUAUGCAGGUCUUGACGGUAACUAAUAAGAAAGCAACGGCUAACUACGUG